Molecule: ribosomal RNA, 496 nt
Filed under: uncultured bacterium
Lineage: Bacteria
Description: bacterial SSU rRNA
Rfam family: Bacterial small subunit ribosomal RNA
Source: RNAcentral
GAUGAACGCUAGCUACAGGCUUAACACAUGCAAGUCGCGGGGUAACAUCUGGUAGAGCUUGCUCUUCCAGGAUGACGACCGGCGCACGGGUGAGUAACGCGUAUCCAACCUGGCCCAUACCACGGGAUAGCCCGUCGAAAGGCGGAUUAAUACCGUAUGCUGUCAUUAAGAUGCAUAUAUUGAUGACGAAAGGACUGGCGGUAUGGGAUGGGCAUGCGGCGCAUUAGGUAGUCGGGGGUGUAACGGACCACCGAGCCGACGAUGCGUAGGGGUUCUGAGAGGAAGGUCCCCCANACUGGUACUGAGACACGGACCAGACUCCUACGGGAGGCAGCAGUGAGGAAUAUUGGUCAAUGGUCGGAAGACUGAACCAGCCAAGCCGCGUGAAGGAAGAAGGUGCUCGGCAUCGUAAACUUCUUUUGUCAGGGACAAAGGGCGGUACGUGUACCGCUGUGAGUGUACCUGAAGAAAAAGCAAUCGGCUAACUCCGUGCCAG